CAAUCAGAACUCAAAGGGAGGGAGGUUCUCUGAGAAAAAAAGAGGAAGCAAUAACUGGCCAGGUCUGAAGGGAAGAAGAAAAACAAAAUUAACACGAUUUACACUGAUCUAAAGCCUGUGUGGCGCUUUCCUUGGUGACUGGGAAUUCACAAGAGGAAACUGAUCCCAGGUCUGUACGCAGAUGAAGGUUGUCUGUUUGCCAAAAGGGAUGAGAACAAUUUCCGUUCCUCUUCUGGAUCCUGCAGGCAGCUGCUGCUCUGUCAGAAACAAGCUACAAACACAAGUGGCAGAAACUAGAAAACGACCGGCAUAUUCGUCUCGUCAAGAGAACAGCCCGCCGGGGGAGGAGAGAGGUCGGAGCCGGCACACGGCAGCCACCUCCGUCAGACGGAGCUCCAGUCAGCAGCCGAAGAGACUUGAGCUCAGCCAGAACAAACCCCAGCACCGACAGUCACAGGGGCUGCUGGACCUGUUGGACCUGUGUGGCGGCAACAAGAGGGAGUCUGCAGUUCUCCGGUGCUGUGGCUGAACUUGAGCUAACUGCUAACUGAAGCUACGCUGUUUCCUGGGGCUGCAGACAGCUAGUGAUGGCAGUGUGAUACUGAAGCUUCGAUAUGUGCUUCAAACUCUGGACUACAAUUCCAUAGAACCACUGCUUCAAAGCUUGCUUCAAAUCACGUGACAUAUGACAUCCGAAGCAGUAACUGCUUCAUUUCCUGAAUGAAUCACCAGACUGGUUUGCCGUCCAAUCAGGUGAUUCGCUGCCACUGCCUCGUCUCGAUUCUGACCGGUUGAGACAGUUUUGAAUUUGAGCGCCUCAACACUUCAUAACCGUUCUAAACAAUGCACAAUUUGUGGGUUGUUGUCAUAGUAGUAUGCGUUAUUGCUGUUGAGUUGUUGGUAUUUGUAUUGGAUCAUUAUGGAGCCAGCCAACUAGCGAAAACUAUUUUUAUGCACGCCAGCAUCAUCUAUUCCUUGUGCGCAAGUAAAGAAACCAGAUCUCAAUCUGUUAAAAGAAUAAUGUACAUCCCACAUAAAAAUGCGCAGCCCCGGUGCCGCAGCUCGUAGAACAGGCGUUCCCUCAAUUAAAGGCUUGCCGCAGCAGCCCGGUAUUCUAAUCCGACCAGUGGCCAUCUGUUGCGUUUAAUUUCCCUUAUCUCUAUCCAAUAUUAAACUGUACUAUCAUUUAAAGCCUAAUAAGCCCACAUUUUCACAUAAACACGAUCAUCAAUCUUUAUCUUUAAAUAGAACAUGAUAUUCAGUCUUAGAUGUGUGUGCCAAAGAAUUUUCAAGGCAAAGAUACUGUGGCCUUGCACUUCACCAGUAGCAGUCACUGUACCUGAAGCUUCGAGUAAUGAACCCAUUUCCGAAACAAUUGGCUGAAGUGGUUCAGUGCUUCACAAAAGCUUCAUUUGCCCAUCACUACAGACAGCUAUACACUCGGCGAAACAGCCUCCUGACAGCUGUGAGGAUGAAGCGAGGUGGUGCGGGUGGUUUCUCGUUUCUGCCACUUUGAAUGUAAUCCAAUAAACAAACUAUAAAACAGACACAGAACAUGGCUGUAAUAUUUACAAGUGAGUCAGGCAGCUGUACUUCUUCUCCCUCUGUACUGAGAGCAGACUGCAGCUACAGUGACUCACUAUCACCUCUAGAGGAACAAGUGAUAUUACAGACUGGACGGAGCGCAGCUAGCUGUUAGCAUGCUAACUUCAGUAGAUAUCUCUGCAACACAACACAUAGACUUUUGUCUUUGACAUAACGCCAACACUGUUAC
Molecule: long non-coding RNA, 1774 nt
Filed under: Cottoperca gobio
Lineage: Eukaryota; Metazoa; Chordata; Actinopteri; Perciformes; Bovichtidae
Description: lncRNA (ENSCGOG00000013544.1)
Source: RNAcentral